GAGUUUGAUCAUGGCUCAGGACGAACGCUGGCGGCGUGCCUAAUACAUGCAAGUAGAACGCUGAAGAGAGGAGCUUGCUCUUCUUGGAUGAGUUGCGAACGGGUGAGUAACGCGUAGGUAACCUGCCUGGUAGCGGGGGAUAACUAUUGGAAACGAUAGCUAAUACCGCAUAAAAUUGAUUAUUGCAUGAUAAUUAAUUGAAAGAUGCAAUUGCAUCACUACCAGAUGGACCUGCGUUGUAUUAGCUAGUUGGUGAGGUAACGGCUCACCAAGGCGACGAUACAUAGCCGACCUGAGAGGGUGAUCGGCCACACUGGGACCGAGACACGGCCCAGACUCCUACGGGAGGCAGCAGUAGGGAAUCUUCGGCAAUGGGGGGAACCCUGACCGAGCAACGCCGCGUGAGUGAAGAAGGUUUUCGGAUCGUAAAGCUCUGUUGUAAGAGAAGAACGGGUGUGAGAGUGGAAAGUUCACACUGUGACGGUAUCUUACCAGAAAGGGACGGCUAACUACGUGCCAGCAGCCGCGGUAAUACGUAGGUCCCGAGCGUUGUCCGGAUUUAUUGGGCGUAAAGCGAGCGCAGGCGGUUAGAUAAGUCUGAAGUUAAAGGCUGUGGCUUAACCAUAGUAUGCUUUGGAAACUGUUUAACUUGAGUGCAGAAGGGGAGAGUGGAAUUCCAUGUGUAGCGGUGAAAUGCGUAGAUAUAUGGAGGAACACCGGUGGCGAAAGCGGCUCUCUGGUCUGUAACUGACGCUGAGGCUCGAAAGCGUGGGGAGCAAACAGGAUUAGAUACCCUGGUAGUCCACGCCGUAAACGAUGAGUGCUAGGUGUUAGGCCCUUUCCGGGGCUUAGUGCCGCAGCUAACGCAUUAAGCACUCCGCCUGGGGAGUACGACCGCAAGGUUGAAACUCAAAGGAAUUGACGGGGGCCCGCACAAGCGGUGGAGCAUGUGGUUUAAUUCGAAGCAACGCGAAGAACCUUACCAGGUCUUGACAUCCCUCUGACCGCUCUAGAGAUAGAGUUUUCCUUCGGGACAGAGGUGACAGGUGGUGCAUGGUUGUCGUCAGCUCGUGUCGUGAGAUGUUGGGUUAAGUCCCGCAACGGGCGCAACCCCUAUUGUUAGUUGCCAUCAUUGAGUUGGGCACUCUAGCGAGACUGCCGGUAAUAAACCGGAGGAAGGUGGGGAUGACGUCAAAUCAUCAUGCCCCUUAUGACCUGGGCUACACACGUGCUACAAUGGCUGGUACAACGAGUCGCAAGCCGGUGACGGCAAGCUAAUCUCUGAAAGCCAGUCUCAGUUCGGAUUGUAGGCUGCAACUCGCCUACAUGAAGUCGGAAUCGCUAGUAAUCGCGGAUCAGCACGCCGCGGUGAAUACGUUCCCGGGCCUUGCACACACCGCCCGUC
This 1405-nucleotide ribosomal RNA is filed under the name uncultured bacterium. RNAcentral's name for it is "bacterial SSU rRNA". It matches the Rfam family "Bacterial small subunit ribosomal RNA". The record is from RNAcentral.